AAAACCGACACAGGUGGAUGAGGAGAGAAUCCUAAGGCCGGCGGGAGAAGUGUUGUUAAGGAACUCGGCAAAAUGACUCCGUAACUUCGGGAGAAGGAGUGCCACAGAGAUGUGGCCGCAGAGAAAUGGCCCAAGCAACUGUUUAGCAAAAACACAGGUCUAUGCAAAACCGAAAGGUGAGGUAUAUGGGCUGACGCCUGCCCGGUGCUGGAAGGUUAAGAGGAGAGGUUAGAGCAAUCGAAGCUUUGAAUUUAAGCCCCAGUAAACGGCGGCCGUAACAAUAACGGUCCUAAGGUAGCGAAAUUCCUUGUCGGGUAAGUUCCGACCCGCACGAAAGGCGUAAUGAUUUGGGCACUGUCUCAACAACACACCCGGUGAAAUUGAAAUACCAGUGAAGAUGCUGGUUACCUGCGCCAGGACGGAAAGACCCCAUGGAGCUUUACUCCAGUUUGAUACUGGGAUUCGGUACUGUCUGUACAGGAUAGGUGGGAGGCUAGGAAAUGGUGACGCCAGUUGCCAUGGAGCCAACCUUGGGAUACCACCCUUACAGUACUGGGUUUCUAACCUGCAGCCGUGACCCGGCUGGGGGACAAUGUCUGACGGGGAGUUUGACUGGGGCGGUCGCCUCCGAAAGAGUAUCGGAGGCGCUCAAAGGUUCCCUCAGAACGGUUGGAAACCGUUCGAAGAGUGCAAAGGCAGAAGGGAGCUUGACUGCGACACCGACGGGUGGAGCAGAUACGAAAGUAGGACUUAGUGAUCCGGUGGUAUAAAGUGGGAUUGCCAUCGCUCAACGGAUAAAAGCUACCCUGGGGAUAACAGGCUUAUCACUCCCAAGAGUUCACAUCGACGGAGAGGUUUGGCACCUCGAUGUCGGCUCAUCGCAUCCUGGAGCUGUAGCAGGUUCCAAGGGUUGGGCUGUUCGCCCAUUAAAGCGGUACGCGAGCUGGGUUCAGAACGUCGUGAGACAGUUCGGUCCCUAUCCGGCGUGGGCGUAGGAUAUUUGAGAGGAGCUGUCCUUAGUACGAGAGGACCGGGAUGGACAAACCUCUGGUGUAUCUGUUGUUUUACCAAAGGCAUGGCAGAGUAGCCAAGUUUGGCAGGGAUAAACGCUGAAGGCAUCUAAGCGUGAAGCCCCCCUCAAGAUAAGAUAUCCCAUCUUCGGAGUAAGACCCCUUGAAGACUACAAGGUUGAUAGGCUUCAGGUGUAAGUGUGGUAACGCACUCAGCUGAGAAGUACUAAUAGGUCGAGGACUUACC
This 1257-nucleotide ribosomal RNA is filed under the name metagenome. Its description in RNAcentral is "bacterial LSU rRNA". It matches the Rfam family "Bacterial large subunit ribosomal RNA", at positions 1649 to 2925 of the family's 2925-position model. The record is from RNAcentral.